UGGGGAAUCUUGCGCAAUGGGCGAAAGCCUGACGCAGCAACGCCGCGUGAGCGAAGAAGGCCUUCGGGUUGUAAAGCUCUGUCAGGGGGAAAGAAGGCACCUGGGUUAAUAGCCCAAGGGCUGACGGUACCUCCAAAGGAAGCCACGGCUAACUACGUGCCAGCAGCCGCGGUAAUACGUAGGUGGCGAGCGUUGUCCGGAAUCAUUGGGCGUAAAGAGCGCGUAGGUGGUUUGUCAGGUCUGAUGUGAAAACCUGGGGCUCAACUCCAGGCCUGCAUCGGAAACCGGCUUGCUAGAGUCUGGGAGAGGAGAGUGGAAUUCCUGGUGUAGCGGUGAAAUGCGUAGAUAUCAGGAGGAACACCGGUAGCGAAGGCGGCUCUCUGGAACAGUACUGACACUGAGGCGCGAAAGCUAGGGGAGCAAACA
Molecule: ribosomal RNA, 426 nt
Filed under: uncultured prokaryote
Description: bacterial SSU rRNA
Rfam family: Bacterial small subunit ribosomal RNA
Source: RNAcentral